UACGUAGGGUGCGAGCGUUAAUCGGAAUUACUGGGCGUAAAGCGCACGUAGGCGGUUGGGUAAGUCGGAUGUGAAAGCCCUGGGCUUAACCUGGGAACUGCAUUCGAUACUGCCCGGCUUGAGUAUGGGAGAGGGAAGCGGAAUUUCCGGUGUAGCGGUGAAAUGCGUAGAUAUCGGAAGGAACACCAAUGGCGAAGGCAGCUUCCUGGCCCAAUACUGACGCUCAGGUGCGAAAGCUAGGGGAGCAAAC
Molecule: ribosomal RNA, 250 nt
Filed under: uncultured bacterium
Lineage: Bacteria
Description: partial 16S ribosomal RNA
Rfam family: Bacterial small subunit ribosomal RNA
Source: RNAcentral